RNAcentral lists this long non-coding RNA (1285 nucleotides) under Papio anubis (olive baboon). Its description in RNAcentral is "lncRNA (ENSPANG00000041933.1)". Lineage: Eukaryota; Metazoa; Chordata; Mammalia; Primates; Cercopithecidae. The record is from RNAcentral.
UCUGCCAUUUUCCUAUCUACUGUGCAACUCCAGGCAAGUCAGUUCACUUUUCUGAGCUCAGUCUCUUCUUUGGAAAAAGUCAAUGACAUAUGCUAUGUACCUGUUCCUUCUGUCUUGUCAACAAUGGUCACGUACCAGGCACAAGAUGCUCAGGUUUGCUGUCUCUAUGUAAUGUCUCACUACAUCUUCAGUUUUUUAAAUGAGGCAGCAGUUAAUAUUAUAAUGUCUAUUUUACAGGAGAGGAAAGCCUGAGGUUUCAAGAACUCGAGGUUCAGUACUGGGUCUUAGAGGAGGACUUUGUUUUAGCUUUGAUGCUCUCUGCUAGGCACGGAGACCCCUGAGCAGAAUGACAAGACCUUCUGUUUGAGUAACUCAUGUUCUGACCAGAGAGACAGACGUGUCAGCAAGAGGUCACAAUACAGUGCGCUCAGAUUCUUCAGGACUUGGAGCCCUUGUUCCAGAAUGGAAGGCCAGGGAAGUCUUCCAGGAGUAGGUGGCGCCUCUGCCGACCUGAAGGGUGAGGAAAAAGUGUCCAGUUGCAGAAGAUGGAGAAACCUGAAGACCAAAAUUUAUACCACCCCUAAGGAGAGCAGCCAUCUUCCUCCCUGUCCUGAGCAGGAAUAAACAAAGACUGAACAAACCCUUGCAGCGGGGCGGGUGGCGGGAGAUGUUUCCAAGCUUUACUCAAAGAAAACGGUGAUGCCUAUGUACAUGUAAGUGAUUUGCCACCUGUGCAAAAGUCUGCACGAUAGCCCUGGGGGAGAGUUCCUGAGACACCCGAGCUCGAGUCUGCAACCCUCAUCUCCUUUCUGUGCCGACUCAGGAAGAAAAUAAGCCCCAGCAGGAAACUCACCCUUUGAAAUGUCAGAGUCCACGAAGUAAGGGCGAGGUGCCCUAAAGCAUCCAAAUGGCAUCUCCUGCCCCAAGAACUUAUCCAAGCCCUCAUCCUGACACUGGGGAGGCUGAGUUACCUCGGUAGGUGCUCCCCGCAAGUGGGAGACAAGCAGCGGUCAUUGGUUUUCAUUUGCUGAAAUCAGCAACUUAAUCCUAACUUAACCAGAGCCUGAAUCUCCCCCUUCCAAGGCAAGGCCUUCCCUGGGAAUGAUUGAAUUUCGCAGGGUGCAAUAAAACAAAGGGCUUCUGCUGAAUCAGGCGCCAGACUCAUAAGCCUGUAAAUCUCCCGCUUACUCUUCAAGGCGGGGAUGUUAUCUCCACCCCAGCCAUCCCCGUCAUGUCAUGGCGCCUGCUGUUUCCACAACCUCUCCUGCUAAGAAGGUGACCCUAG